GGAAAAAAUACUAAAAUAAAAUGGACGGAAAUUUAAAUAAAUACACGCUCUAUCUGCCACAUUCAGCGAGGUACAUCGAAAUAGUGCAGUGAUUAAAGAUCAAGCGGCUCAGUUGGCUAUGCCAUCUCUAACGAAUUAACUCAAACGCUCCACCUCUGAAAACAUGCGAUGCGGUACUUACUCGGUGGCAAAGGACGACAAAGAUGUCGAAUUACCUGUAAAUCAUUGCCCGGAGAGCAUGGGGAAAAAACUACAGGCGCAAUUUGUUUGACUAGACCAAAACAUAUGCGAUUACUACGCCCAUCAAGAAAAUAAGAGGAUUUGAAAGUAAGUUUGAAACUAGUUUUGUACCUGAAUAAUGUUAAAUUUCGUGACGUCUGGCUAUUACCUAAGUACAAAAGACUAAUCCGAGAACCAUUAAGGAGAUGAAAACAUAAUCUGUUUGCGCUAUUCCGGAAAUCGAUUUCAAUAAAUGUUUACAGAUUUGGAGAAACUACAGGCUUAAAUAUUAUAUAUUGUAUCGGAGGGUGGUCAUACAUUAAAGGUUAUGAUAUAGAUUUAAAAGAAUAAAUAGGGAUUUUAAGUGUUAUAUCCAUUUUUACUUGAUGGUAGGCGUACUCGUAAGAUCGGAAAAUUCGUAUAAUCACAGCCAGAAAUUCUUCGACCUUACACUAUCACAACACUUUUCCUUUUGUCGAAUCAUAU
This is a long non-coding RNA of Anastrepha obliqua, 705 nucleotides long. RefSeq lists it as uncharacterized. Lineage: Eukaryota; Metazoa; Arthropoda; Insecta; Diptera; Tephritidae. The record is from RefSeq and is a predicted model, not a curated record. The transcript has 3 exons.